ACACGACAGUUUCAUCAUUAGACCAAGAUGCCUCCACGGAAGAGAUCCACACGGCUCACCCAAAAAUUCGAAGAAAUUGACACAAGAUAUGAAGCGCCAAAUGAGGUAUAGACUGAAACAGAACUACAGAAGUACUUCAAUGGGAUAUCUGCAAAUCAAGUGUGGACUACAUCGCCUAUUUCAAGCAUGUCUGACAAUGACUGGAGAAAGUUGGUGGAGAAGUUGUCUACCCCAAAUCACAAGGUGAAGGGAGCCGAGCCGCGCGGGCAUGAAUGGGAGCCGAGCGGGCGUGAAGGGAGCUGUUGGGACCAUGCUUCGUCGCCGUAGGUCCUGCAGGAAGAAACAGCUUCGGCUGAAGCUGUCCGCAUGUGAUGACCGAAGGUUCCUCUCCAUGAAGAUUCAGAAUUACAAACCGACUUAAAAAUAGAAUGACCGUUUAGUCCAUAAAUGUUUGAGUCGUUGUUGUAAACUUUUAUGAGGGACAUGAUUGUAAUUCCUCACAGGCUGUGUCUUGUGCCUAUAAAUAGUGAACAGUACUCCUUUACUAUUCACGAAUUCCUGUAAUUGCAAUCGCGCCAAUCGGGAAUUAAUCUUUGUCAAGGCAGAGGUAUAAAUGUAUUUAGUACUUGAAUACAUUAAAUGGAGAUAAUAUAAAAGUGAUGUUGUUC
Molecule: RNA transcript, 668 nt
Organism: Zea mays
Lineage: Eukaryota; Viridiplantae; Streptophyta; Magnoliopsida; Poales; Poaceae
Exons: 3
Source: RefSeq, marked validated